RNAcentral lists this ribosomal RNA (442 nucleotides) under uncultured bacterium. Its description in RNAcentral is "partial 16S ribosomal RNA". It matches the Rfam family "Bacterial small subunit ribosomal RNA", at positions 338 to 795 of the family's 1533-position model. The record is from RNAcentral.
CCUACGGGCGGCAGCAGUGGGGAAUAUUGGGCAAUGGGCGCAAGCCUGACCCAGCAACGCCGCGUGAAGGAAGAAGGCUUUCGGGUUGUAAACUUCUUUUAAGGGGGACGAACAAAUGAUGGUAUCCUUUGAAUAAGCUACGGCUAACUUCGUGCCAGCAGCCGCGGUAAUACGUAGGUGGCAAGCGUUAUCCGGAUUUAUUGGGUGUAAAGGGCGUGUAGGCGGGAGCGCAAGUCAGAUGUGAAAACUCAGGGCUCAACCUUGGGCCUGCAUUUGAAACUGUGUUUCUUGAGUGCUGGAGAGGCAAGCGGAAUUCCGGGUGUAGCGGUGAAAUGCGUAGAUAUACGGAGGAACACCAGUGGCGAAGGCGGAUAGCUGGACAGUAACUGACGCUGAGGAGCGAAAGCGUGGGGAGCAAACAGGAUUAGAUACCCUUGUAGUC